Molecule: ribosomal RNA, 427 nt
Filed under: uncultured bacterium
Lineage: Bacteria
Description: bacterial SSU rRNA
Rfam family: Bacterial small subunit ribosomal RNA
Source: RNAcentral
UGGGGAAUAUUGGACAAUGGGCGCAAGCCUGAUCCAGCAAUGCCGCGUGUGUGAAGAAGGCCUUCGGGUUGUAAAGCACUUUUAUCAGGAGCGAAACGCUGUCGGCUAAUACCCGGCGGAACUGACGGUACCUGAGGAAUAAGCACCGGCUAACUUCGUGCCAGCAGCCGCGGUAAUACGAAGGGUGCAAGCGUUAAUCGGAAUUACUGGGCGUAAAGCGUGCGUAGGCGGUGACUUAAGUCUGCUGUGAAAUCCCCGGGCUCAACCUGGGAAUGGCAGUGGAUACUGGGUCGCUAGAGUGUGAUAGAGNAUGGUGGAAUUCCCGGUGUAGCGGUGAAAUGCGUAGAGAUCGGGAGGAACAUCAGUGGCGAAGGCGGCCAUCUGGAUCAACACUGACGCUCAUGCACGAAAGCGUGGGGAGCAAACA